AGAGUUUGAUCCUGGCUCAGAACGAACGCUGGCGGCGUGCCUAACACAUGCAAGUCGAGCGCGAAAGUCCCUUCGGGGGCGAGUAGAGCGGCGGACGGGUGAGUAAUACAUGGAUAAUCUCCCUUCGAGCUCGGGAUAACACUGCGAAAGCGGUGCUAAUACCGGAUAAGACCACGUCACCCAGGUGAUGCGGUAAAAGAUGGCUUUGUUUUCGGAUGAGGCUAUCACUUGAGGAUGAGUCCAUGGCCUAUCAGCUUGUUGGUGAGGUAAAGGCUCACCAAGGCGAUGACGGGUAGCUGGUCUGAGAGGACGACCAGCCACACUGGGACUGAGACACGGCCCAGACUCCUACGGGAGGCAGCAGUGGGGAAUAUUGGGCAAUGGGCGAAAGCCUGACCCAGCGACGCCGUGUGGGCGAUGAAGGCCUUCGGGUUGUAAAGCCCUGUUGGGUGGAAAGAAGGGCUCUAGGACGAAUAAUCCCUGAGUCUUGACGGUACCACCAUAGGAAGCACCGGCUAACUCCGUUCCAGCAGCCGCAGUAAUACGGAGGGUGCAAGCGUUGUUCGGAAUUUCUGGGCGUAAAGGGCGCGUAGGUGGUUGUAUAAGUCAGAUGUGCAAUCCCGAGGCUCAACCUCGGAACUGCAUCUGAUACUGCAUGACUAGAGUGCAGCAGAGGGAAACGGAAUUCCCAGUGUAGAGGUGAAAUUCGUAGAUAUUGGGAGGAACACCGGUGGCGAAGGCGGUUUCCUGGGCUGACACUGACACUGAGGCGCGAAAGCGUGGGUAGCAAACAGGAUUAGAUACCCUGGUAAUCCACG
RNAcentral lists this ribosomal RNA (818 nucleotides) under uncultured bacterium. RNAcentral's name for it is "bacterial SSU rRNA". It matches the Rfam family "Bacterial small subunit ribosomal RNA", at positions 8 to 799 of the family's 1533-position model. The record is from RNAcentral.